AUGGGGGACGUAUACGUCACUUCACCUACAUUUGUUGGACAUGAUACUGGUUCAAUUCUAGCAAUCGACUGUCAUCCAAGUGGGAAAAAGUUUAUCACAUGCGGACAGAAAGCUAGAACUAGCAAUGGUUUGGUAGUUGUGUGGAAUGCGGAACCAGUGCUCGACAAGAAAAAAGCAUCGAAUGAAAAUGUUCCCAAGUUAUUAUUUCAAGUCGAAUCACAGUCACAAUCAAAUUCGUGUCGAUGGUCGCCUGAUGGAAAACGUUUCGCAUUUGGAUCCGACGAUUCAUCAGUUUCUGUUUGGGAAUAUGUUGGACUUAUCAACUCAAUGGGAUCAAUCACUGGCGGUGCUCAAAAUGUGGAAAGAUACAAAGAAUGUUGUGUAUUAAGAGGACAUUCGAUGGAAGUUCUAACAGUUGAAUGGUCACCAAAUGGAAAAUACCUUGCAAGUGGAUCUAUUGAUUAUCGAAUUAUUAUUUAUAAUGCUCGAAAACUGCCCGAUCGAAUCACAGUUUUAAAUGAUAUACAAUUGCCAGUAAAAGGAUUAUCAUGGGAUCCAAUUGGAAAAUAUUUGGCUAGUCUGGAAGGAGACAAAAAGCUCAGAUUUUGGGCAACGGAUAGUUGGCAGUGUGUGAAAAGUGUCACAGAACCAUUUGAAAGUAACAUAGAAGAGACAAUGUUAACUCGAUUGGAUUGGUCUCCAGAUGGAAAAUAUUUAAUGACUCCGGCAGCAGUUCGAAGUGGAAAACCACUGAUCAAGUUGAUUCAGAGACAAACGUGGAAAUCUGAUCAAUUUCUUGCUGGACAUCACAAAGGAACCACGUGUGUUCGUGCAAUGCCACGUUUAAUUGAAGCUAACCUGAAAAAUGGAAAACGAAUGCAAUUGACGUGUGCCGCAGUUGGAUCGAGAGAUAAAUCCAUUAGUAUUUGGGUUUUUCCUGGAACAUUAAAGCCUCUUUUCGUCAUCAACAAUAUUUUCAAUCACACAGUUAUGGAUUUUGCAUGGUGUGGAAGAAAUUUGCUCGCUUGUUCACAAGACGGAACUGUAAAAGUUAUACAUUUGUCGGAGAGUGUCAUUGGAGAAAUGAUUAGUAAUGAAGCUAUGAGCGACCUCUGUUAUCAAAUCUACUCAAUUCGUCCUCCUCGAUACGAAUUAACGGAUAAAGAAGAAGAUGAAAGUCAAGAUUCAUUCAAUUUAUCUGAUCUUUCAUCAUCAGCUAACAAUGCAUCAUUUGUGACAUGCCCCGAAGAUGUCUUGAUUAAGAGAAAGAAACUCGUGGCUGCUCAACAAUCAUCUGACAUUCAAUUAACAAAAUCGAUGGAGGAUAAUUCGAAGGAAAACGAAUCGAAAAAUUCUGAAAAGACAAUGAUGGAAGAAAGAAAUAAGCAGAUUGAUGUUCGAAAAGAUGGAAAACGAAGAAUUCAACCAGUUUUCUGUGGUACAACUACUGCAGAUCCAAUGACAAGUUUAUCAUCAGAAGGGAAAAAGACUGUAGCACCACCACCUGCAAAACGAAAAGCUUUAGCUCCAGCAGUACCAGCGAAAAAGGGCGAAGUUGAUUUGGAAGAUUCUUCAGAUUCUGAUGAUGACGACGAAGAGGAAGAGGAAGAUAUGGAAAUAUCAGAUAUUGAAUCUGUUAGAAAUAAAAAACGAAAAGUUCCAGCAACUACAAGCCAACCAAUGUUAGCUCUUGAUUUGAAGAAGCCUGCUCUGAGACCAAUGGAACCAAAAAGUUUGAAAACUCAAGAAGGUACAGUACUCAUGGAAGCUCCCGAACAACAACCAAAACUCAGCCAACAUGUUGUUGAUAGAAAAGGAAUGUUCGUAGAAAUUGAUAAUCGAUGGAAGCAUGGAGGUGUUGAGACAACACAAAUUAAAUUGAUUAAAAAGAAACAACAAACCGCGGAAAAUGAAGAUGAUAUGAUGGAUGGAGAGAGAAGAGUUAAUCACGAAUGUCUGUGGAUGGCCGUUCUCGGUUCUCCCGUUAUUAUUGUGGCCGCGAAUAAGUAAGGAACUAAUAAAUAGAAAAAUUUGUGAAAAAAAAACAAAAAAAAAUCGCUUUUAGUUUCAAUUUGAAACUUUAAUAUUUUUGAGCUCAAAACGUAAUUAUUAUAGAAAAAAAAACGCACAAAAUAUUUUGAAAUAUAUUAACGACAACGACUGCAAAAUAUGAAAAUGCGAGAUUUUAUUGGAUUUGUUAGUUUCAAAAACAUGAUGAAACAUUUUCGGAACAGAUUUUCUGUUAUUUCUGUUUUAUAAAUUUAGACCUUUUAUGGAAUUUUAUUUAAAUGGAACUUUUCUUACAGACACAAUGUGGUACUCGGAUGUGGUGAUAAGUGCCUACGUGUCUAUCGAACAUUUUGUGGUACACACAUUGUUUCCCUCCGUCUCGAUUCUCUUCCUGUAUUGAUAGGAGUUACAGAGCAUGCUGCAUAUGCUCUAACUGAAAAUGGAAGGCUUUCCACGUGGAAUCUGAAAUUGGGAAAAGCAGUCGUAACACGACAACCGCUAUUUGAUUGUGUUGAAGCUUCAACUGACAAUUCGUUGAUUAGUGCAGAUGUAUCUGAAACUGGAGUUCCAUUGAUAGUUUUCUCGAAUGGAUCCAUUUUUACAUUCAAUGUUUCACUUUCGUGUUGGAUUCAAGCAAUAACUACAAAUGUACUUGGACGUUUAACAUCUCCAAUAUCAGAUGCUCAAUUAUCAUGUUCAAAUGGAACAACGAAUUCCGCCGGACCACUGGUCAGAUUGUUGAAACGGAUGAGAAAACAAGCAACAGCUCCAGGAGUUGCACCACAAGUAGUUAAAGCUGUUAAAGAAUCUCAACUUGAACAGCUUCUUCAUUGUGCAGAACAACUUGGAAAUCCACAAGACUAUCAGACAAUGCUAAUGUUAUAUGUCGAGACAUUAUGUGAAGGAGGAAGUGAAAAGAAGCUCAAAAAUAUACUGAAUGAUCUAUCGAGAAGUGGAGCACCAAUGCAAGUAUGUGGACUCCGUCGUUCGGCUCUCUAUGAUGACGUCACUCGAAUGAUUAAGCUAAAGCAGCCAGCUAUUGCAGCAAGAAUUGUCGCUGGUGUAGCGGCAAGUACAACAACUAAAUCUCUUUUUUAA
Molecule: RNA transcript, 3108 nt
Organism: Caenorhabditis elegans
Lineage: Eukaryota; Metazoa; Nematoda; Chromadorea; Rhabditida; Rhabditidae
Gene: hira-1
Gene name: Non-coding transcript of protein-coding gene hira-1
Exons: 10
Source: RefSeq, marked reviewed